RNAcentral lists this ribosomal RNA (1734 nucleotides) under Listeria monocytogenes. RNAcentral's name for it is "partial 23S ribosomal RNA". It matches the Rfam family "Bacterial large subunit ribosomal RNA", at positions 1 to 1726 of the family's 2925-position model. Lineage: Bacteria; Bacillati; Bacillota; Bacilli; Caryophanales; Listeriaceae. The record is from RNAcentral.
UUGGUUAAGUUAGAAAGGGCGCACGGUGGAUGCCUUGGCACUAGGAGCCGAAGAAGGACGGGACUAACACCGAUAUGCUUUGGGGAGCUGUACGUAAGCGUUGAUCCAGAGAUUUCCGAAUGGGGGAACCCACUAUCUUUAGUCGGAUAGUAUCCUUACGUGAAUACAUAGCGUGAGGAAGGCAGACCCAGGGAACUGAAACAUCUAAGUACCUGGAGGAAGAGAAAGAAAAAUCGAUUUCCUGAGUAGCGGCGAGCGAAACGGAAAGAGCCCAAACCAAGAAGCUUGCUUCUUGGGGUUGUAGGACACUCUAUACGGAGUUACAAAAGAAAGUUAUAAAUGAAGCGGUCUGGAAAGGCCCGCCAAAGACGGUAACAGCCCGGUAGUUGAAAUAGCUUUCCCUCCAGAGUGGAUCCUGAGUACGGCGGAACACGUGAAAUUCCGUCGGAAUCCGGGAGGACCAUCUCCCAAGGCUAAAUACUCCCUAGUGACCGAUAGUGAACCAGUACCGUGAGGGAAAGGUGAAAAGCACCCCGGAAGGGGAGUGAAACAGUUCCUGAAACCGUGUGCCUACAAGUAGUUAGAGCCCGUUAAUGGGUGAUAGCGUGCCUUUUGUAGAAUGAACCGGCGAGUUACGAUUUGUUGCAAGGUUAAGCGGAAAAAGCGGAGCCGUAGCGAAAGCGAGUCUGAAUAGGGCGCAUAAGUAACAGGUCGUAGACCCGAAACCAGGUGAUCUACCCAUGUCCAGGAUGAAGGUAAGGUAAUACUUACUGGAGGUCCGAACCCACGCACGUUGAAAAGUGCGGGGAUGAGGUGUGGGUAGCGGAGAAAUUCCAAUCGAACUUGGAGAUAGCUGGUUCUCUCCGAAAUAGCUUUAGGGCUAGCCUCGAGGUAAAGAGUCAUGGAGGUAGAGCACUGUUUGGACUAGGGGCCCUUCUCGGGUUACCGAAUUCAGAUAAACUCCGAAUGCCAUGUACUUAUACUCGGGAGUCAGACUGCGAGUGAUAAGAUCCGUAGUCGAAAGGGAAACAGCCCAGACCACCAGUUAAGGUCCCCAAAUAUAUGUUAAGUGGAAAAGGAUGUGGGGUUGCUUAGACAACCAGGAUGUUGGCUUAGAAGCAGCCACCAUUGAAAGAGUGCGUAAUAGCUCACUGGUCGAGUGACCCCGCGCCGAAAAUGUACCGGGGCUAAACAUAUUACCGAAACUGUGGAUGAACCUCUUUAGAGGUUCGUGGUAGGAGAGCGUUCUAAGGGCGGUGAAGUCAGACCGGAAGGACUGGUGGAGCGCUUAGAAGUGAGAAUGCCGGUAUGAGUAGCGAAAGAAGGGUGAGAAUCCCUUCCACCGAAUAUCUAAGGUUUCCUGAGGAAGGCUCGUCCGCUCAGGGUUAGUCGGGACCUAAGCCGAGGCCGAUAGGCGUAGGCGAUGGACAACAGGUAGAGAUUCCUGUACCAGUGCUAAUUGUUUAACCGAUGGGGUGACACAGAAGGAUAGGGAAUCGCACGAAUGGAAAUGUGCGUCCAAGCAGUGAGUGUGAGAAGUAGGCAAAUCCGCUUCUCGCGAAGCAUGAGCUGUGAUGGGGAAGGAAAUUAAGUACGGAAGUUCCUGAUUUCACGCUGUCAAGAAAAGCCUCUAGGAAGAGUAGUACUGCCCGUACCGCAAACCGACACAGGUAGAUGAGGAGAGAAUCCUAAGGUGAGCGAGAGAACUCUCGUUAAGGAACUCGGCAAAAUGAC